UUUGACCUCAAAUCAGGUAGGACUACCCGCUGAACUUAAGCAUAUCAAUAAGCGGAGGAAAAGAAACUAACAAGGAUUCCCCUAGUAACUGCGAGUGAAGCGGGAAAAGCUCAAAUUUAAAAUCUGGCGGUCCUUGUGGCCGUCCGAGUUGUAAUUUAGAGAA
Molecule: ribosomal RNA, 163 nt
Filed under: uncultured Nolanea
Lineage: Eukaryota; Fungi; Basidiomycota; Agaricomycetes; Agaricales; Entolomataceae
Description: partial 28S ribosomal RNA
Rfam family: Eukaryotic large subunit ribosomal RNA
Source: RNAcentral